This 305-nucleotide ribosomal RNA is filed under the name uncultured bacterium. RNAcentral's name for it is "bacterial SSU rRNA". It matches the Rfam family "Bacterial small subunit ribosomal RNA", at positions 337 to 657 of the family's 1533-position model. The record is from RNAcentral.
ACCUACGGGGCGCAGCAGUGGGGAAUAUUGGGCAAUGGGCGCAAGCCUGACCCAGCAACGCCGCGUGAAGGAAGAAGGCUUUCGGGUUGUAAACUUCUUUUCUCAGGGACGAAGAAAGUGACGGUACCUGAGGAAUAAGCCACGGCUAACUACGUGCCAGCAGCCGCGGUAAUACGUAGGGAGCAAGCGUUGUCCGGAAUUACUGGGUGUAAAGGGAGCGUAGGCGGGAUGGCAAGUUGGGUGUUAAAUCUACCGGCUCAACUGGUAGUCGCACUCAAAACUGCUAUUCUUGAGUGAAGUAGAGG